Hibiscus syriacus is the source of this 911-nucleotide long non-coding RNA. RefSeq lists it as uncharacterized. The transcript is spliced from 2 exons. NCBI's taxonomy places the organism in Eukaryota, Viridiplantae, Streptophyta, Magnoliopsida, Malvales, Malvaceae. The record is from RefSeq and is a predicted model, not a curated record.
UUUUUUUCUAAAGCUCGUCAUUUUCUCUCAACUCCCCAACCUUCUCUCUUUUCUUAUUUCGUUCUCUUUCCUUAAACCAACGACACCAUGGUCGUCUCCCUUUAAUUGGCAGCUCCGACUAGGAGCCUAAAACUUCCUACACCACUCUCGCUUCUCUUCCCGACCCUUAAAACCGACCAAACCCGAUGAGAUACUCCUCAAAACUCCCCAAAUAAAAUCCAAGAAACAGAUUACCUUCGGCUUAGGGGGUUUUUACUCCAAAAGAUGACGGCGAUGCCCCUUUUCCAAUGGGAAAGUUGCUGAAGAGAAAAAUAACUUUUUUUUGGUUUUGUGUUGCUGUUGGAAAGGUGAUAUCUUUUUUUAAUGAGGUUCCUCCCACUUUUUCUGCUCUUUUCUUGCCGUUAUAUCCCCUCUGCCUCUUUUUUUAUUUAUUUUUUCCCUGAUAUUUUCCUUGUUUGCAUGCGAGGGACUGUUGGAGUUUUGCUUCGGGGUGGCUCUGCCAUUGUUGAGGGAGUAUGGAAGGGGAAUACACAACCGUUGUAGGUGCUCAGGUGCAACAGAGACAGACGCGUGAACGUGUGGGGGACCAAGGCAUGAGCACAUGGGCUGGGCGAGAGAGGUUCUGGUGUGUGGGAGCAUAAGAGGCGAGCGUGCAUCGCGUGCGUUGGAAUAACAAAUAGUUGGAAUCCUUGAUUGGAAACUGAGCCUUUGGAUCAUUGAUUGGAUCUAACGCUUGACGUUUUGCGACGGUGGUAGUAGUUGGUGUUAAACCCUAAACUUGGAUGCUGGUAUGAAUCAUUAGAUCCUUACUCUGGGUCUUCAUAUUAAGGUCAUUUGUAUUUGGUUUUGUAAUUAGGGUCUGCAAAUGACAUUGAUAAAGAUUAGUGCAAAUUAAAUUAGUAUUUUAUGUA